UUCUAGAGAGGAUUUCCGCAAGAACUCUCUUUUGGACCUCAUCAACGUCGGUUGUGACCUCUUCAAUGAACUGAAGAACCUUCUUGUUUUCCUCCGCAAUACUACCAUUAGGGGCCUUCAUUGGGAUCUUUGGUGCAUCAGGUAUUGUUCUUUCCAUCUUAAUAAAGACCUGGCUGAGUCAAUGAUUUUGUUACAAGGUGAACAAAAAAUGUUUAUUAGGUGUGUGGAGGAAGGUUGAGGUGGCUUUAUACGGAGGACGUUUUGGAUCAGGUAUUGUUCUUUCCAUCUUAAUAAAGACCUGGCUGAGUCAAUUAUUUUGUUACAAGGUGAACAAAAAAUGUUUAUUAGGUGUGUGGAGGAAGGUUGAGGUGGCUUUAUACAGAGGACGUUUUGGACGACGUUAAAAUCAGAAACGGAUGGAGUGUAUUGACUACGGGUUGAACUGAAUCCAGUGUUUACUUGUAAAUAUAUCACGUGCGUCUUUUGGAAACUUCUCUGAUAGUUCAAAAAUAUGUUCCAUUGACCUUCAAAGAUCUACCACUUCAUGGCUACAUAAAUUUCCUUUUUGAUAAGUGUGACUUAUGGGCACAGAUGAGCUCAUACAUGUUGUGCUCUUACCAGUACACUAGAGCCAUCCCAACAUUUACCCUCGAAAAUCACUUGAUUAUCAAAAAGAAAAAAGAUAUGCACAAAUCAACAUAGAAUAAAAAAAUAACAUGGCCUUAUCAUCACACCACUACCAAUAGUUGCUAUUAUAGUAUUUCCUAUGUUUAAUUCCUUAUACAUUAUGUAGCUUUCCAGACAGUGACAGAGCAUCUUCAUCAUGUUCUUCAUUUUUUAUACAUUAUGUUACUUUCCUGACGGAUCCUCAUCACCUUGUGUUUCAUUUGUUUUUACAAAUUUCAUCCGCCACUAUUUUGUCUUACAUAAUAAUUCCUUCUUUAAAAUGCAUCUGUAGAGUAAUUGAUCUGUUUUGAUAUUUCUACAUAGCAACUUGACAUACCUUACCAAACUAUGUUUGAAUGCAUAUUGUUUGUUGCUUUUCAGUACAAAUAUUAUAUUUAGUGUCUAGUGGUUCAUAUCAUUUAUUUAAUUAAAUUUAGCCACAAUUAUUUUUAUUAAAUAAAUUUAUAUAUCAUAUUGAGGAUCACAUAAGGAAAUUAUAGACAUUAGAUAAGGACUAAUGUCUAGGUGAUCUAUAGUUUUAUUUAAUUGAAACUUAGUCACAACAUCUUUAUUUUUUUUUCUUUUUUUAGAUAACCGUGCUGUCCGGGCCAGCUUACGCGCUCCUUGACUAAUUUCACGGGAUACCUGCCACCUCCCACCAGCACAACAGGUACCAGGUAAUUCUAUCCACAAAGGCUAGAAUAGAUGGAAUAAAUCACCUAGCGUUUGUCUCUGUUAGGAAUUGAACCUGAGACCUCAGAUGCUCAACCCAACUUCAUUGAACCACAUGGCCACACCCUUGGGUGCUAGUCACAACAUCUUCAAUUGAACAAAAAUUUUAAAGUUAAGGAUCACACAAGAAAUUUUGGACAUUAGAAUUGUUGAUUAAUUAUGCACUAUGUAAUAACUCAAGAAUCUUUAUUAUUGGGUUGCAUAAUUAAUUAGAAUAAUCUAACAAAGAUUCAAUAAAGAGGAAAACGCAACUCAAAAGAAUAUUGAAAAGAUCAGGUCCACCCUAUAAAAGAACUUUUGUUCAGAUAUAUAUCAAAGGAAAACUUUGUCCUCAGGAUCUUUCUCCCUGAAGAAAGGACAUUAAUAGCUGUUUAGGUAUAACCUAACGUCCAACUAUGAUGACAAUGGUCAAAGCCAUUGAUUAAAAAUAUUUUUACCUAUCAAAUUAUCACCAAUUAUUUAUCAAAAUCUAUCUCAGUUAUCAAUUGUUUGCUUUUUCCACGUGAAAUAUGAUGACUUCAGGUAGGAGAGAAGUGAACACUUGAUAGUUAAGGUGUUGUUUGAUAAAUAGUUGGUGACACUUCAUGUAGAAAACGUACUCACCUGAUCGUUCAGGUAUGUAACUCAAAAGACCUGAAUACGUGAGGUGUGUUUUUGAUUCUAGGGAGCAUCAAGGUUCAAAAAACACACCUAACGUAUCCCUAUAUUUUGAUUUUCAUACUUGAAUUAUUCGGUGUGCAAGUUUCCCACUUGUAUUAACACUAACUAUUUAGUUGUGUUUUUGACUAUUAACUCUUCUAGCUAAGAUAAACAAUGUGUGAGUGCUACAACAUAGACAUCUUCGUUCCUCUUCCCGUCGUAGAAGCCUAGCUCCAUCACAAAUAGUAGUGACCAACAAACAUAAACGAGAAUGUUUAAAAUUAGAGAAACACCGACUAUUAAUCAAAACACACCUCAACUAUUAAUUGUUCACUUUUCCUACUUGCAAUAACACCAUCAUAGGUGAUACGAGCCAAAUGGCCAACUUAGAUUUUGAUGACAUCUUUGGAGGCCAACACGUAGAGACUCAAGACUUGGUCACCUCGAAUAUACAGGAACAAGCAAGGAGGACCGGUUUUGAGCAUGCCAUUAAGCAAGGUUGUGUGUGGAAGAUUGCUUGGAGCAUUAAAGACUUGAGGACUCACGGUUUUGGACCACACUUAAAUGACUCAUGGUUUUUGAAGCAUUGAAGAGCCUUAAAACACUCCAAAACCGCCACUCUACUUAAGGGUGUUUUGGUCAUUUUGUGCCCUUUCCUUACACUCCAUAGGAGUUCCUUUCAUUAAGGGCAUUAGGGUCAUUUUGUCUUCAUUUUGUAAUAGCUAUAUGUAGGCUCUUUAGGGUUUAUUUCAUACUUGGUUAUUUAUUGAUGGAAAACUUUGAAACAUUGUAACACCUAAUUCUCUCUAGGUUUUGAGAGUGAAACACCUUAGUUGUAGGGCUUGGAAAAGCCAAAACCGAAAUGAGGGCUGUUUCAAGUGUGGAUUUACUUGAGUUGCAACUUGGCUUGAAACGUUGGUGCUUGAGGAGGUAACGUCCCUCUUGUGUCAUUGUAAGGGUUUUGGUGAUUGUUUUUGUAGGUGUUAGAGGUCCUUAGAUUUGAUACAUCUUAGGGUUUCUAAUGUUUAUGUAAGCAUUUGUCUAACCAUCUAUCCUUUAAUAUAUUGCAAAUCGUUUGUGUUUUGUGCUUCUCUUAUUGUUGCCGUUUUAUGUCUUGUUCUUUGUGGACUGUUUUGUGUCCUUUGUGAGCUGUCUUGUAUCAGUAGGUAAGAUAAAUGAACAAUUGAUAGUUGAGGUAUGUUUUCAUAAAUAGUUGGUGAUAGUUUACGUAGGAAACUUGAACGCCUAAUAGUUUAGGUAUGAAACUUAAAAAAUGGGGAUAUUUUUAGUGUGUUUUUGACCAUUUAACUCUUACAAUUAUUUAACUUACUUUAAUUAUUUUCUUGGCUAAUGCCAGACUUCUCUAAAGUUGAGGUUCUCAAAGUCUAACACCUCUACCUACACAAACAUGAAAAUCUCUAAUAUGAUAAGUUAGUAUGAUACAUAUUCUUUAUCAAAGUUACCAUUCUAAGAAAAAAUAAUAUUUCCUUUAUCUGCUUUGUUAUUAUUAAUACGCCUACUCAUCAUUUGCAGGGGCUAAGAUCAAGUCUUCUUACCGUGACGUCCAAUUCUGAAGUUGCUCAUGUCAAACAUGAUUAUGUUAUUUGCACUAGCUUGUUCAAUAUAAUCGGACACCCUUCUGUCUGCGCGAAACAAAAAGUUAAAGAGUAGCUAGAAUUACAUCUUAGUCAAAUAAGAGGACUUGUUCUUAGUCCCUGCAAAUGAUGUGUAAGUCUAUUAAUAAGAUUAAAGCAGAUAAACAAAAUAUCCGAAGGGUGUUGAUAAGUUGUUAGGACAACAAAUUUUUGGCAGAUUGUAUUGGCAAAGCUGGUGCAAACAACAUAAUCAUAUGUGAUCUCCAUUGGAGGAAAUAAUCAGUUAUUCUGACAUAGGUGUGAACCACGGACUUAUAGAGGUAACUCGUGUUACAUUUUCCUUUUAUCAUAAAAUGCACCAGUUAAUAUUUGUAAGUUUUCUUACAUGACUGUCUUCUAUAUGUUGAAAAUUCAACAUGUUAUAGUUGAUUAUAUUGCCAUUAAGGAGAAAGGCUUUGACCUUAUGCGGUUGCUGUCUAUAUUGGCGAUAUUGUUAGGAUGGCAAUGUAUGCUGAAAAGUUUGGUCUAACUCUAGCUUUGAUGGAUCAUUUGUGCUGCGACUCUAGUAAAUGCUGUUCAUGAGCAAUUUUAGAAAGGGAUGUCCACGUCUUGAAGAGAAUUGAUUGGUGAUGUUUAAGGGAAAAUAACAGUCCUAGUCGAUAUAAGGAUUGUUUAAUUUCCAUUCUUAAAAAAUAACAUAAACAAAUCCUUCCCUAUAAGUUCCUUAAUUUAUAUUCUCUUGUAAAAUAUGAAAAAAAAGUCCAAUUUGCUCAAUUUAACUUUCUUGAGUUGCAAUUUUCGUAAGAAACUAGAGAACACAAUUGUCUGAGAUGAUUAUUAUGGAAAUACAGAAAUUGCAUACUGAUUGUCUUUAAUAUUCUUCUGAUUCGGAUAGAUAGUUUAUAGUAUUGUCUUGGGGUUGUAUUGUUUCCUAUAUUAGCUAGUAGUGUUAGUUUAUUUUGCAUAUUGUAUUAGUUUAUAUGCUUUAAUAUUUUUAUGUUUGUUAUACUGUUAUAUGUCUUGUGCUUGGGGGUCUAUCGGAAAUAACCUCUCUGCUUCACCUGAGGUAGUGGUAUGGUCUGCGUAUACUUUACCCUCCCCAGACCCCAUUAGGUGGGAAUAUACUGGGUAUGUUGUUGUUGUUGUUGUAUAGGAAGUCCAUUGCUUUUAAACCAUGGCUGUUCAUACUUCUUACUUUUUUUGCGGAGUUUCAGCCUUCUCUUUUCUGACAUACCUUGGCUCAAUCACAAGCCCACACGAGCACCACUUAUCCUUUAUCCUUCCAGAAUUGGAAAGGUUUGACAUCCAUACAUGCUGAAUGUCCUUUCUUGAUGUAACAAUGUAAGUUAAUGAGUUAAUGUUUUUUACAUAGUAACUAACUAGUUCAAACAAAUGCAAAAUUUUAACAAAGAUUGAGGCAUAAAUAUUUGUCAGAGUUUUCUGGUAACUUAGAGGAAGUUAUGUUUGAUUCUGAAUUUUAUUAUAUGAAUCACAUUAAACUAGAGAAAGUUGUGUUUAAUUUUUAAUUUUAUCUUUUUUUUUUUUCAAAAGUAUUUUGUUGAUGUUAUGUUUAUACUUUGUGUGUUCUUUGCCAAAAGUCUUAUUCCUAUUAAAGGAUUUUAUGUCUCUGUAGGUAGAAAUGUUAGAUUUAGAGAACCUCUGCCUUAAAGAAGUUCUCAUUCGCACCCCCCUCCCCCCCCCAACA
Molecule: long non-coding RNA, 5337 nt
Filed under: Capsicum annuum
Lineage: Eukaryota; Viridiplantae; Streptophyta; Magnoliopsida; Solanales; Solanaceae
Description: long non-coding RNA (CANN_LNC015045)
Source: RNAcentral